GCGGUCACGCCCAAGCACUAACAAAUUCGAAGUGGUAACGGGGAAACGGUCUCUUUGCUUCCGGACCUAGCGGCCGAACGGGUGAGUAAUGCUUUGGGAAUACUGCCUUGUUAGUGGGGGGAUAACAUAUUGGAAAGGGAUGGCUAAUACCGCAUACGUCUUACGGGACCAAAGCAGGGGGAUCUUUCGGACCUUGUUGCUAAUAGGAGAGCCUAAGUUGGGAUUAGGCUAGUUGGGGGGGUAAAGGCCUCCCAAGGGGACGAUUCCUAGGGGGUUUGAGAGGAAGAUCCACCCCCAUGGGAAUGAGACACGGCCCCGAAUUCUACGGGAGGCAACCGUGGGGAAUAUUGGCCAAAGGGGGGCACCCUGAUCCCACCCUGCCGGGUGUGAGAAGAAGGCCUUAUGGUUGUAAAGCAAUUUUCGCGAGGAAGAAGGUACGUUAGUUAAUACCUAGAGAUCGUGGACGUUACUCGCAGAAUAAGCACCGGCUAACUCUGUGCCAGCAGCCGCGGUAAUACAGAGGGUGCAAGCGUUAAUCGGAUUUACUGGGCGUAAAGCGCGCGCAGGCGGCUUAUUAAGUCGGAUGUGAAAUCCCCGAGCUCAACUUGGGAAUUGCAUUCGAUACUGGCGAGCUAGAGUAUGGGAGAGGAUGGUAGAAUUCCAGGUGUAGCGGUGAAAUGCGUAGAGAUCUGGAGGAAUACCGAUGGCGAAGGCAGCCAUCUGGCCUAAUACUGACGCUGAGGUACGAAAGCAUGGGGAGCAAACAGGAUUAGAUACCCUGGUAGUCCAUGCCGUAAACGAUGUACUGAGCUAGGCAGUUGGUGCCUUUGAGGCUUUACUUGCCGCGAGCUAAACGCCGAUAAG
This 864-nucleotide ribosomal RNA is filed under the name Acinetobacter baumannii. RNAcentral describes it as "bacterial SSU rRNA". It matches the Rfam family "Bacterial small subunit ribosomal RNA", at positions 67 to 864 of the family's 1533-position model. The record is from RNAcentral. Lineage: Bacteria; Pseudomonadati; Pseudomonadota; Gammaproteobacteria; Moraxellales; Moraxellaceae.